This is a long non-coding RNA of Syngnathus typhle (broad-nosed pipefish), 1369 nucleotides long. RefSeq lists it as uncharacterized. The record is from RefSeq and is a predicted model, not a curated record. The transcript has 5 exons. NCBI's taxonomy places the organism in Eukaryota, Metazoa, Chordata, Actinopteri, Syngnathiformes, Syngnathidae.
UAAAAUGCUCACUUUCUAAAUUUUUAACUCUUGUAACAUUUUUAACUUUUUAAACUUUUAACUUAAAAUGCUCACUUUCUAAAUUUUUAACUCUUGUAACAUUUUUAACUUUUUAAACUUUUAACUUAAAAUGUUUCACUUUCCAAAUUUUUAACUUUUGAAACUUUUACAUUUUUUAAACUAUCUUAGACGAGUUAAGGGGAGACUUUUUAACGUUUUACAUGUUUUUAUUUCUGAUUUUAGUUAUAGAAAGGCCUUUUAAACUUUUUUUUUUGAAUUGUUUUUCACAUUAAUUACUUCAUUUUUUUAUGUAUUAUAUUUUUUCUACGUCAUAAUCGUGAGGCGACAACAGAAAACAGACGAGUUCAUUUUAUGUGGCGAAAGCAGCUCAUCCACAGUCCACUGACCAAAGACAUCCUCUCUUCGGCCAUGUACCAGCCAAAUGCCGCCUUAAGUCCAGGAAAAGUUUUCUGAAAAGUGUCCCACCCCUCAGAACGCCGAACACAGGCAGUGAAAGAGUCACUCGGCGGGAAGAAAGACUUGACAAUCUUCCACCAGAAACUACAAUGGAGCUUAAAGCAAGCGAGGCAAUGACCCCAGGAGCAGACACCAACUAUGUAUGCAACGUGGAAAUGCCUAAAUAGACUAAGAUCUGGUGUUGGACGUGCAAAAGUCACUCUCGCCAAAUGGGGACAUCUGGAGGAUCGGAACAGCGAGUGUGACUGUGGCACUGAACCACAGACCAUGCAACACCUCCUCAUGUGCCCCUGCUGGAACAUCCCUGCACAGCAUCGAAUUUAGCAGAGUUUAACGAGAAGGGACAGAAAUGUGUUCAGCUGUGGCUCAACCACAUCUAGCCAAGCCUGUAACUAACUGCCUUGUAGCCACGAUAAGAAGAAGCUCAUCCCAGAAUCGAUGCCAGAGGUAGCCAUGACAUAUUACUUUAUUGUAAUAGGGCAACAGUUUCAAGAACACCUGUACAAGGGAGGCCUGCAUCAUGGAACACAAACUCCCAAACACACAUGACUUCUCCUGCUUCUUCUCACAGCGAGAGCCACGCAUUUCAAGAAGACUUGUACAAGGGAGGCCUGCAUCAUGGAACACAAACUCCCAAACACACAUGACUUCUCCUGCUUCAUCUUAUGUUCCUGGGUCUUGCCUGUGGUUCUACAUGCAUCCAGUCAUGCAGACAGAGAACACCUUAGCCUUUAACUGUCGGAAGCUGUCCCUCUGCGAGGCCUCAUAGUAUAGUCUGUUUUCUGUUCUCAUUCAUUCAUUCAUUCAUUCAUUCAUUCAUUCAUUCAUUCAUUUAUUUAUUUAUUUAUUUAUUUAUUUAUUUAUUUAUUUAUUUAUUUAUUUAUUGAUUGAU